AGAACGAACGCUGGCGGCAUGCCUAAUACAUGCAAGUCGAACGAACACUUCGGUGUUAGUGGCGCACGGGUGCGUAACGCGUGGGAAUCUGCCCUUGGGUUCGGAAUAACAGUUGGAAACGACUGCUAAUACCGGAUGAUAUCGAAAGAUCAAAGAUUUAUCGCCCAGGGAUGAGCCCGCGUAGGAUUAGCUAGUUGGUGAGGUAAAGGCUCACCAAGGCGACGAUCCUUAGCUGGUCUGAGAGGAUGAUCAGCCACACUGGGACUGAGACACGGCCCAGACUCCGUACGGGAGGCAGCAGUA
This 303-nucleotide ribosomal RNA is filed under the name uncultured soil bacterium. RNAcentral's name for it is "bacterial SSU rRNA". It matches the Rfam family "Bacterial small subunit ribosomal RNA", at positions 26 to 356 of the family's 1533-position model. The record is from RNAcentral.